GAUGAACGCUGACAGAAUGCUUAACACAUGCAAGUCUACUUGAACUUCGGUUUGGGUGGCGGACGGGUGAGUAACGCGUAAAGAACUUGCCUCACAGUUAGGGACAACAUUUGGAAACGAAUGCUAAUACCUGAUAUUAUGAUUUUAGGGCAUCCUAGGAUUAUGACAGCUAUCUGUGCUGUGAGAGAGCUUUGCGUCCCAUUAGCUAGUUGGAGAGGUAACGGCUCACCAAGGCGAUGAUGGGUAGCCGGCCUGAGAGGGUGAACGGCCACAAGGGGACUGAGACACGGCCCUUACUCCUACGGGAGGCAGCAGUGGGGAAUAUUGGACAAUGGACCAAAAGUCUGAUCCAGCAAUUCUGUGUGCACGAUGACGUUUUUCGGAAUGUAAAGUGCUUUCAGUUGGGAAGAAAAAAAUGACGGUACCAACAGAAGAAGUGACGGCUAAAUACGUG
RNAcentral lists this ribosomal RNA (454 nucleotides) under uncultured bacterium. RNAcentral describes it as "partial 16S ribosomal RNA". It matches the Rfam family "Bacterial small subunit ribosomal RNA", at positions 28 to 507 of the family's 1533-position model. The record is from RNAcentral.